UUGACUUUACCAGUACAUCCAAAACAACAGUGAAACAUAUUCAGUCUGCAUUCUGACUAUGGUGUAUUUAGCUCGAUGGUUUCUCUAUAGAAAAGCCAAGAAAGCAUAGUCAUAUAAAAAUCAGAAAUCUUUUGUUAGAUCACAGCAAUGGAUGGAAGCAUGGAGAAAUCAAAAUCGUGCAGGAACAGAGUUGAUUUUGUGUUGCGAUUUGCUGCCAUUGCAGCUACUCUUGUAGCCGCCAUUGUUAUGGGAAGAGACAAACAGACUCUUGAUACUCCCUUUAGCCCUAUUGUUGCCAAAUACUACUACUCGCCCGCUAAUGUGCAAUUUUCUCUCUGUUUUUCUCCUCACAAUCGCAAUUUUGAAAAUCUUUUUCAGAGAUUUAUGUAGCUGUAAUUCACUGUGUUUUCUGAUGGCAGAUUUUUCGUGAUAGCAAAUUCAAUUGCUUGCGUCUAUGCUAGGUCAAGACUACCCAAUGGAGCUUUUGGUAGUUGUGCUUUUGGUUCGUCUGUUGUGGAUUGUACAAUGCCUGCGGAGCCCAGAUUAAACCGUAGCAGUGGACAGAAUGCGGAUAAGAGGGUCGAAGCACAUGUUAGUAAUAGUACCCGCACCUUACCCGGCAACAACAAAUUCUAAACCUUCAAAGCCCUAAAACCCCUAAACACCAUUUUGCGCAAAUGGGUUUUUACAGAGGCUUAGUGACCGGGACGAAAACAGAUACAGAGGAAAAAGUAGAAAGAGCUUUUCUAGCUGCAUCCACAAUAGAGGAGCUCAAGGCUUCAUUUAGAACAAUGGAGAUUGUGUUUGAUUCAGAUGAUAAGAAGCUUUGGUAUGGCUUGUCUGAGAAUGGUCAUAUCAAUUAAGCGGGUGAGGACCCAGAAACAAUUCAUAUCUAUGCCAAAAGGGGCGCUUAGGAUUCUAGAAAAACAUGAGAAGAGCUCCGUAGAGGUAGCCAUGUCUCUUCAUCUCAUGGGCUCUGUACAUUACGCACCAGCUAAGUUCCCGUGCAGAUCAAACCUAUAAGUUUUGCCGCACAGAUUCAACCGUUCGGAAAAUUUUCCGAUAAUUUAACGGCGCGAGGAAUUGAAAUCCGGUGGGCAAGGCCCACAUUAAAAAGCCGAUUUUGAAAGUUAUAUGAUUUACAGGACUUAAGUUGUUUUUGGAAAGUUGAGAUUUUUGGAAAGUUGAGUUUUUUGGAAAGUAGAGAUUUUUGGAUUAGGAGUUUUCUAUAUUUAUAUGGUCUUGUUUAAGUUUUUUUGAUAUUCAGUUCUUAGAAAGUAAUUUUUGGGGAGAUUUUUUUUAAUGGCUUUUAGGGUUUUAAAAUUUGGUGGUUAAAAGCCAGAUUGAGCCAGAAUAAUAUUGAUAUUGAUUUUGGAAGCUGGAUGGAUUCAGUUUGCUUGAGGUAAAGGAGUGCUGGGAUAGCUGAUCCUUGUCAAGGUCCACAUCGGCAGGCAUAAAGAGUAUAAGUAAUAUUGUGAGUCAGUUAGUAACAAGGGUUCUGUUCAUAGUGAUAAUUUUCCCUUUACCAUACGGGACUCUGCAAAGUUUUCAAGCAUCUCAUGUAUAUCUCCUUCUGAAGCUGAACAAGCAAGCAAGUAGGAGAAGGAAAAAGAUUUUGCCAGUGCAAAAAAGAUGGAAAAUAGAGUUUCGGGCUUUCAACUGAAUUCACCGUUUCCCCGUGAGAUACUGAGUUGCAAGUACACAGUGGAAAUUUUUUAAAUUUUAAGAAAAACUAAAAGUGUAAUAAUGACUAGAGAGGUGAAUUCUGAAGCUUCCAGAGAAAGUUUGCAUCUUUUGACAGCUGGUUCUUAAAUUCCUGUUAUUAAUGGAGUCAAUUUGAACCAUGAAAAAGAUGCUGCAGGAUAAUGUAAUCAGAGAGAAGCAGAAUACUGUUCCAAUAUGAGUCAUUUACCUGUUGGAUAUAUGAUGAUUUUGAAGGGAAGCUCAUUAGUUCUGAUUUCAAUAAUCAAGAAUUUCUUUGCAUUUGUGUUCUGGCGACCAUUUUGCAGCCAGAUUAUUAACAACUGCUUUUGUACGCCAGGGAACUUCGGAACGUCUGCUGGACGAUUAUAUACUUUUGAUGGGUCGAGGUAAAGUCCAACUGAGAGGAUUCUCUAGUUCUUACAGGCCAUAUAAUUUUGUUCUGAUUCAACUAUAUUAGAUAACGACCUUGAAUGAGCAGGAAAUACAAGAUUUGGUGUUGCUCUUUCUGCCAGAGAAAUGGAUUACUAGUUCACUUUAGAAAACAGAGCAAUCUGAAACUAGUACUGCCAGAGGGGUUCCUACCUUUUGAUGGAUCCAGGUUUAGUCUAAUUUAAGAGGCUUCUCUUUGCUUUUAAAUUUUCCGUAGAGAAUGUCUGUGCCAGUGUAGCUGAUGUGGAAGAAGAAAUGACUGAUCUAUUUCAAAAUUCACGGUUGUGGCAUCACAGAGAAUUCAUCUAUAGAAAUGUUUUAGAUAGAGAAUUGAAAUGUAGACCUAAUACUUUGUUGCUGUUAUGUUCCACAUAGUGUUGUGAUCCAUGGGCUGAGGAUAUAAAUAUCUCUUCAGAACUCAAUAUUAUUAUCUAGAACAGCCAAUUGCUUUGAAGUGCUCUCUGUUUCCUCAAGGCUCAGAAUGGACAAAAACAUUGUGUGGGACUUAACUGCAAUUUCAGUGUUUAGUCUGCAUUCCAAACCUGAAGCAUUUCUGUGGGUACAAUCUCUUACACCACCCCAAUAUGGAAGCUUCAAAUAAAACAAUGUCUUCAGAUAAUCGUCAAAUGGGUCAAUAACAACAAGCAAAACCUCUUCAAUUGGACUGAACUUGGAGCCGUCAAAAGCUAUGAAUUCUGUAAUGCUCUAGCAGUAAAUCUCUCAGAUUUCCUUAAUGUAUAUACAGUAGAAUCUAACAAAACUAGAAAAUUCUCCAGCAUUAUUCCUGGUAUAGAAACAGGCAUCAUAAUCAAUUUAUGUGGCAGAGGUCAAUGAGGAGCAAAUUUAAAUCCAUCAGUUCUUGCUCACUCAUUUUAGAAUUGAUUAAUAAGAUCAAACUUUAUUUUGUCAUCUAAAAGCACCCGAAUCACUAGGCAAUCUUGGAUGAGAACAAUAGUUUACUUUGUUGAUCCCUUUGAUCCGGUGCUUCAUCAUCUUUGAAGAACCUGAUGCUGCAGCAUCGUUUUUCAACUAUGAAGAAUUUAUAGAUGGAUAUUUAGAGGUCAUAUCUUUAAAUGUUGUCGAGUUCUUUGUUAAACAAAGACACCUUACUCUAGAAGCUUCAGAAUUCACUUCUCCAGUCAAUAUUGCCCUUUUCUGUUUAUCUGUUUAUUUAGACUUUAGCAAGCCUUCUUUAUGGUUUGCAACUUGGUUUACCUAUUGGGAACUGAAUUAUUUUCCAAAAACUUGAGUAAUUUUUCGCUUUGAUAUUGGGACCUUGUUCCUUUGGUCCUAACAGUUACAGUGCCUUGUUAUAUAGUAAACCUAAAGCUUUUCUGUAACCCUGAUUAAUUGUAAUUCCUAUGUAUAGCAAGAUAAUUGCUUG
Cryptomeria japonica (Japanese cedar) is the source of this 3517-nucleotide long non-coding RNA. RefSeq lists it as uncharacterized. Lineage: Eukaryota; Viridiplantae; Streptophyta; Pinopsida; Cupressales; Cupressaceae. The record is from RefSeq and is a predicted model, not a curated record. The transcript has 2 exons.